This 500-nucleotide ribosomal RNA is filed under the name uncultured bacterium. Its description in RNAcentral is "partial 16S ribosomal RNA". It matches the Rfam family "Bacterial small subunit ribosomal RNA", at positions 30 to 523 of the family's 1533-position model. The record is from RNAcentral.
AUUGAACGCUGGCGGCAUGCUUUACACAUGCAAGUCGAACGGUAACAGGGUGCUUGCACCGCUGACGAGUGGCGAACGGGUGAGUAACGCGUCGGAACGUGCCGAGUAGUGGGGGAUAACGCAGCGAAAGUUGUGCUAAUACCGCAUACGUACUGAGGUAGAAAGUGGGGGACCUUCGGGCCUCACGCUAUUCGAGCGGCCGACGUCUGAUUAGCUAGUAGGUGAGGUAAAGGCUCACCUAGGCGACGAUCAGUAGCGGGUCUGAGAGGAUGAUCCGCCACACUGGGACUGAGACACGGCCCAGACUCCUACGGGAGGCAGCAGUGGGGAAUUUUGGACAAUGGGCGAAAGCCUGAUCCAGCCAUGCCGCGUGUCUGAAGAAGGCCUUCGGGUUGUAAAGGACUUUUGUCAGGGAGGAAAUCCCUAGUGCUAAUAACACUGGGGGAUGACAGUACCUGAAGAACAAGCACCGGCUAACUACGUGCCAGCAGCCGCCGUAA